AAUCGACAUUUUCUUUUUUAAAUUUCUCCCAAACUUGAGUGCGUCCUCGAUUUUUCUGUAGUUCUGUAAUCGGAUCUUAAGUCGUUGGAAAUGGAACUUAUUUGCAAAUUAUACCUGAGCAAAAGGAAAAUAUUUCAUAACCAAUUUACAACGCACUACAAGAACUUGAAAAAAAUAUUUAAUUUGAUUUUGACUUCCAUGGGUUCUGAUUUUAAACGACUACAAAAAGGUUCUAAAGUUCUUUAGACAUUUAAAUAUUCCAUCGUCACGACCGCCACAGUACUAA
Trichoplusia ni (cabbage looper) is the source of this 286-nucleotide long non-coding RNA. RefSeq lists it as uncharacterized. The transcript is spliced from 3 exons. Lineage: Eukaryota; Metazoa; Arthropoda; Insecta; Lepidoptera; Noctuidae. The record is from RefSeq and is a predicted model, not a curated record.